UUAGUUAAAGCCAAAAAGAGGCAUGCCACUGUUAAUGGUUGAAAUGAGAACAACUCUCUAACUAA
RNAcentral lists this transfer RNA (65 nucleotides) under Halocaridina rubra (Hawaiian volcano shrimp). Its description in RNAcentral is "tRNA-Asn". Lineage: Eukaryota; Metazoa; Arthropoda; Malacostraca; Decapoda; Atyidae. The record is from RNAcentral.